AUUGAACGCUGGCGGCGUGCUUAACACAUGCAAGUCGAACGAUGAACCCGGAGCUUGCUCCGGCGGAUUAGUGGCGAACGGGUGAGUAACACGUGAGUAACCUGCCCUUGACUCUGGGAUAACUGCGGGAAACUGUAGCUAAUACCGGAUACGACCCUCGGCGGCAUCGCCAGGGGGUGGAAAGAAUUUCGGUCAAGGAUGGACUCGCGGCCUAUCAGCUAGUUGGUGAGGUAACGGCUCACCAAGGCGACGACGGGUAGCCGGCCUGAGAGGGUGACCGGCCACACUGGGACUGAGACACGGCCCAGACUCCUACGGGAGGCAGCAGUGGGGAAUAUUGCACAAUGGGCGCAAGCCUGAUGCAGCAACGCCGCGUGAGGGAUGACGGCCUUCGGGUUGUAAACCUCUUUUAGUAGGGAAGAAGCGAAAGUGACGGUACCUGCAGAAAAAGCACCGGCUAACUACGUGCCAGCCGCCGUAAGAC
Molecule: ribosomal RNA, 484 nt
Filed under: uncultured bacterium
Lineage: Bacteria
Description: partial 16S ribosomal RNA
Rfam family: Bacterial small subunit ribosomal RNA
Source: RNAcentral